GACGAACGCUGGCGGCGGGCUUAACACAUGCAAGUCGAACGGAAAGGCCCUGCUUUUGUGGGGUGCUCAGUUGCCGAACGGGUUAGCAACACUUGAGUAACCUACCCUUGACUUAGUGAGAACAUCAGGGAACUGGGGCUAAUACCGGAUAGGAGCUCCUGCUGCAUGGUGGGGGUUGUAAAGUUGCGGCGGUUGGGGAUGGUGUCGCGGCUUAUCAGCUUGUUGGUGGGGUAGUGGCUUGGCAAGGCAUUGCCGGGGAGCCGGCCUGAGAGGGUGACCGGACCAACUGGGACUGGACUACGGCACAGACUACUAUGGGAGGCAGCGGAGGGGAAUAUAGCACAAGGGGAGGAAGCCAGCUGUAGCAAAGCCGCGUGGGGGAUGAGGGCAUUCGGGUUGUAAUCCGAUUUCGCCUGUGACGAAGAGUGAGUGACGGUAACGGGUAAAGAAGCCCCGGCUAACUACGUG
RNAcentral lists this ribosomal RNA (468 nucleotides) under uncultured bacterium. Its description in RNAcentral is "partial 16S ribosomal RNA". It matches the Rfam family "Bacterial small subunit ribosomal RNA", at positions 28 to 507 of the family's 1533-position model. The record is from RNAcentral.